RNAcentral lists this ribosomal RNA (630 nucleotides) under Salmonella enterica. RNAcentral describes it as "partial 23S ribosomal RNA". It matches the Rfam family "Bacterial large subunit ribosomal RNA", at positions 2202 to 2827 of the family's 2925-position model. Lineage: Bacteria; Pseudomonadati; Pseudomonadota; Gammaproteobacteria; Enterobacterales; Enterobacteriaceae. RNAcentral also lists the same sequence under 1 other name. The record is from RNAcentral.
ACCCUUUAAUGUUUGAUGUUCUAACGUGGACCCGUGAUCCGGGUUGCGGACAGUGUCUGGUGGGUAGUUUGACUGGGGCGGUCUCCUCCUAAAGAGUAACGGAGGAGCACGAAGGUUGGCUAAUCCUGGUCGGACAUCAGGAGGUUAGUGCAAUGGCAUAAGCCAGCUUGACUGCGAGCGUGACGGCGCGAGCAGGUGCGAAAGCAGGUCAUAGUGAUCCGGUGGUUCUGAAUGGAAGGGCCAUCGCUCAACGGAUAAAAGGUACUCCGGGGAUAACAGGCUGAUACCGCCCAAGAGUUCAUAUCGACGGCGGUGUUUGGCACCUCGAUGUCGGCUCAUCACAUCCUGGGGCUGAAGUAGGUCCCAAGGGUAUGGCUGUUCGCCAUUUAAAGUGGUACGCGAGCUGGGUUUAGAACGUCGUGAGACAGUUCGGUCCCUAUCUGCCGUGGGCGCUGGAGAACUGAGGGGGGCUGCUCCUAGUACGAGAGGACCGGAGUGGACGCAUCACUGGUGUUCGGGUUGUCAUGCCAAUGGCACUGCCCGGUAGCUAAAUGCGGAAGAGAUAAGUGCUGAAAGCAUCUAAGCACGAAACUUGCCCCGAGAUGAGUUCUCCCUGAGACUUAGAGUCUC